AUAAAAACUUUGGAGAAGAGUAGCUAAUGCGUACAUUUACAGAGACUCCCGUUUGGUGUGAAGGGAGAAUGGACAAAUGAGUGAAGAUGAGCUCCGUAGAGUCAGAUUGGUUCACGCUGAUCAGACGGGUGCGACCGUUACAUCGCUAAGCUUAUAACGCUUGAUUCGUUAUGUGCUGAUGAGGCAGUAGUUGGAAAGCUACUGCGAACAAGGGUGGUACCACGAUCAAUACUCGUCCCUCUG
Molecule: non-coding RNA, 243 nt
Filed under: Dolosigranulum pigrum
Lineage: Bacteria; Bacillati; Bacillota; Bacilli; Lactobacillales; Carnobacteriaceae
Description: T-box sequence
Rfam family: T-box leader
About the family: Uncharged tRNA acts as the effector for transcription antitermination of genes in the T-box leader family. T-boxes are found upstream of many aminoacyl-tRNA synthetase genes and some amino acid biosynthetic genes usually in Gram-positive bacteria.
Source: RNAcentral